CCUACGGGAGGCAGCAGUAGGGAAUAUUGCACAAUGGGGGAAACCCUGAUGCAGCAACGCCGCGUGGAUGAAGAAGGAUUUAGGUAUGUAAAGCUCUAUCGGCAGAGAAGAAAAUGACGGUACCUGAUUAAUAAGCCCCGGCUAACUCCGUGCCAGCAGCCGCGGUAAUACGGAGGGGGCAAGCGUUAUCCGGAUUUACUGGGGGUAAAGGGUGCGUAGACGGAAUAACAAGUCUGGAGUGAAAUGCCGGGGCUUAACCCCGGAACUGCUUUUGAAACUGUGACGCUAGAGUGUAGGAGAGGUAAGUGGAAUUCCUAGUGUAGCGUUGAAAUGCGUAGAUAUCAGGAGGAAUACUAGUGGCGAAGGCGGCUUACUGGACCGUAACUGACGUUGAUGCUCGAAAGCGUGGGGAGCAAACAGGAUUAGAUACCCUAGUAGUC
RNAcentral lists this ribosomal RNA (440 nucleotides) under uncultured bacterium. Its description in RNAcentral is "partial 16S ribosomal RNA". It matches the Rfam family "Bacterial small subunit ribosomal RNA", at positions 338 to 795 of the family's 1533-position model. The record is from RNAcentral.